RNAcentral lists this transfer RNA (73 nucleotides) under Ilumatobacteraceae bacterium. RNAcentral describes it as "tRNA-Val". It matches the Rfam family "tRNA". From Rfam's summary of the family: Transfer RNA (tRNA) molecules are approximately 80 nucleotides in length. Lineage: Bacteria; Bacillati; Actinomycetota; Acidimicrobiia; Acidimicrobiales; Ilumatobacteraceae. RNAcentral also lists the same sequence under 1 other name. The record is from RNAcentral.
GGGCGCAUAGCUCAGUUGGUAGAGCACUGCCCUUACAAGGCAAUGGUCGGGGGUUCGAGUCCCUCUGCGCCCA